AGGACGAACGCUGGCGGCGUGCUUAACUACAUGCAAGUCGAACGGGGAUUAGUUGAUUGAGAGCUUCGGCAGGAUAUCGAUUAAUUCGAGUGGCGGACGGGUGAGUAACGCGUGAGCAACCUGUCCCAGACAGGGGGAUAACACUUGGAAACAGGUGCUAAUACCGCAUAAGACCACGGGAUCACAUGGUUCUGAGGUAAAAAGGAGCGAAUCCGGUUUGGGGUGGGCUCGCGUCCGAUUAGCCAGUUGGCGGGGUAACGGCCCACCAAAGCGACGAUCGGUAGCCGACCUGAGAGGGUGAACGGCCACAUUGGAACUGAGAGACGGUCCAAACUCCUACGGGAGGCAGCAGUGGGGAAUAUUGGGCAAUGGGCGAAAGCCUGAACCCCCAGCAACGCCGCGUGAGUGAAGAAGGCCUUCGGGUUGUAAAGCUCUGUUAUAGUUGACGAAGGAAGUGACGGUAGGCUAUAAGGAAGCCCCGGCUAACUACGUGCCAGCCGCUGC
Molecule: ribosomal RNA, 504 nt
Filed under: uncultured bacterium
Lineage: Bacteria
Description: bacterial SSU rRNA
Rfam family: Bacterial small subunit ribosomal RNA
Source: RNAcentral